Molecule: ribosomal RNA, 253 nt
Filed under: uncultured bacterium
Lineage: Bacteria
Description: partial 16S ribosomal RNA
Rfam family: Bacterial small subunit ribosomal RNA
Source: RNAcentral
UACGAAGGGUGCAACCGUUGCUCGGAAUUAUUGGGCGUAAAGCGCACGUAGGCGGCUUAGUAAGUUGGAUGUGAAAUCCCUCGGCUUAACCAAGGAAGUGCAUCCAAAACUACUGAGCUUGAGUACUAAAGAGGAUCGCGGAAUUCCCGGUGUAGAGGUGAAAUUCGUAGAUAUCGGGAGGAACACCAGUGGCGAAGGCGGCUGCCUGGACCGGCCCUGACGCUGAGGCGCGAAAGCUAGGGGAGCAAACAGG